Long non-coding RNA from Esox lucius (northern pike), 559 nucleotides. NCBI's taxonomy places the organism in Eukaryota, Metazoa, Chordata, Actinopteri, Esociformes, Esocidae. The record is from Ensembl.
AUCUUUGCCUGUGAAGAUUGCAUAUUUGAGUACCAAUCAGACCAAAAAAGUAAAAUAAGCAUCUAAAUUUCAUUUUCUUUCCCUUAGACUCCCUUAACAUAGAUCUCCAACAUAUAUCAUUCUAUUUGCAAUAUUUGACCAUACUUUACUGAAACUAUUGAAGUCCUGUCAAGUUCCUUGGGGAACUUACUUUGGUUGUGUGCUUCCAGUCAUUAUGAAAGCGGCGGCGCCCUACAAUGAGAGUAGUGAUAAAACCUGAUGUGUCACCACUGCUUUAAGAACCCAACAGAAACAACUAAACGAAUCCUAAAAUGGCUAAUUUUACACUGAUGGAAAUAUAAGUUGAUGUGCUGUUAUGAAGGUGAUUGCUUAGAGAAGUCAUUUUAGGAUUUCUAUUACAAGGAUAUUGGUAACUUCAAAUAGUGUUCAUUCAUUGUUGAAUUUUAAUAUUACAUUUUAUUUCAUACCCACUCAAAAAUUAUGCUGAGUGGUGUCUAGGUAUGUGGGUAUUCAUUCUUGUCUAAGUGAUUUUGAGUCUUGUUGAGGUGCUUUUUCAAAG